AGUGAAUAGAUACCCUGGUAGUCCACGCUGUAAACGAUCAAUACUAGGUGUGCGGGGACUGACCCCCUGCGUGCCGGAGUUAAACACAAUAAGUAUUGCACCUGGGGAGUACGAUCGCAAGGUUGAAACUCAAAGGAAUUGACGGGGGCCCGCACAAGCGGUGGAUUAUGUGGUUUAAUUCGAAGCAACGCGAAGAACCUUACCAGGGCUUGACAUCCUACUAAUGAAGCAGAGAUGCAUUAAGUGCCCUUCGGGGAAAGUAGAGACAGGUGGUGCAUGGUUGUCGUCAGCUCGUGUCGUGAGAUGUUGGGUUAAGUCCCGCAACGAGCGCAACCCCUAUUGUUAGUUGCUACGCAAGAGCACUCUAGCGAGACUGCCGUUGACAAAACGGAGGGAGGUGGGGACGACGUCAAAUCAUCAUGCCCCUUAUGUCCUGGGCCACACACGUAAUACAAUGGCGGUCAACAGAGGGAUGCUAAGCCGUGAGGUGGAGCGAACCCCUAAAAGCCGUCUCAGUUCGGAUUGCAGGCUGC
Molecule: ribosomal RNA, 533 nt
Filed under: uncultured bacterium
Lineage: Bacteria
Description: bacterial SSU rRNA
Rfam family: Bacterial small subunit ribosomal RNA
Source: RNAcentral